AAUUAUGUGAAGCAAGCUGUCAUGCUUGUCAGAUGAUAUACAGGUCUGUUACUAUGCAAGGCUAUACCUGGUGAAGUGUCACCGCCUGAUGGUGGUAACGCGUUGCCUACGUACAGUCAAACCGAUGGUGGGGUGCCUAUCUGUCUGAUGCCUUUCGACAUGCUCGUGGCUUUUAGUCACCAGUCCAUGCUUGUGGGCGACAGAGUGUACUACCUUUGACGGUAGUGCUAGGCUCAAUGAGUGGUUGCACAUCAAGGGCUACGGCCCGGACACCGCCCCAUUCCAGUUUUAUACUUUACCAUACACUGUUGAGCGAACCGUGUCUUUGGACUCGAUUCAAAACUCAUGUGUGCCCGGCUUCGCUGGGUUGCACUCAGUCACCUGGCGUGGCCUUCCCCCAGGCUUGACUGAAAUACUCGGAUUUUCUGAGUAUUGUACAACUCUGUGCGGUGGAUCACUCGGCUCGUGUGUCGAUGAAGAGCGCAGCCAACUGUGUGAAUUAAUGUGAACUGCAUGCUGCUUUGAACAUCGACAUCUUGAACGCAUAUUGCGGUCACAGGUUAGCCUGUGGCCACGUCUGUCCGAGAGUCGGCUUACAUAUUAUCACGACGCCCAAAAUGUCGUGGCUUGGGUAAUGCCAGCUGGCGUGAUUUCCCUGAACCUGUGACUGCUGUUGUUGAUCAGGAUUUGGGGUGUCAGAUCUUUGGCGUUUCCCUGAUUUACCCGAAUACAUUUGCAUCGUCGUUGGUUACAUUGUUCGAAUGUGAAUGUGGCGACGGAGUCGUGGCUCAGUGUUGUUUGUCAAUCGCGCUCCGUUCAUGCCAAUUCAUUCGUAUACGAUGCUUUAUUGUUGUUCGAUGGUUAACCACUAUUUCCCGACCUCGGAUCAGGCGUGAUUACCCGCUGAACUUAAGCAUAUCACUAAGCGGAGGAAAAGAAACUAACAAGGAUUCCCUCAGUACGGCGAGUGAACAGGGAAGAGCCCAGCACCGAAGCCUUUGGUCGUUUGAUCAUUAGGCAAUGUGGUGUUUAGGUCGGUUCGCAGAGGCACUGCUCCACUCUGAGUCCAGCAAUGAGUACGGCAGCUUGGACAUGGCCCAUAGAGGGUGAAAGGCCCGUGAGAGUGGAGUUCAGGCAGGCCAGUGCCUCUCUGGAUUGACCUGGGAGUCGGGUUGUUUGAGAAUGCAGCCCAAAGUGGGUGGUAAACUCCAUCCAAGGCUAAAUACUAGCACGAGUCCGAUAGCGAACAAGUACCGUGAGGGAAAGUUGAAAAGUACUUUGAAGAGAGAGUAAACAGUGCGUGAAACCGCUCAGAGGUAAACGGGUGGAGUUGAACUGCAUACUCCGUGAACUCAGCUGGUGAGGAUGUUUUGGGCUUGGUCAAAUGGGUUAGACACUGAGGUAUACUGAGCUGUAUGUCCUGAUCAAAUUGGUUGGGAUGCACGCUACGCUCAUCAUGCGUUGUGCGCCUCGGUUGUUUAUCUGCCCCCUCGUCAGUGCAUUUUCACGGAGUGAUCACCACGACCGGCGUUGCUGCCCGGCCGCUUUGGUCGAACUGCCCUUUCACCGUCCAUGUGGCGUUGUUUGGUUGGGAUGGCAGGUAGCUCGUUGGCUUGCUCUUUUGCUUGCCUCCGGGUAUAAUCAGCUGACCAAAGUGGGACUGUGCAGUACGUCGGAGAUAGCGGCUUGUUGUGCGUGCUUGCGUAUUUCAUCUUCCAGAGGUUCUCGGUUUGGUUAUUAUGUUGCCUGUCUCGGCAGGUCUAGUGAUAUCCGAGUUCCUAUUGGUUGGUGGUUGCGCAGGUGGCACCUUGUAUGGCCGAUAGUCUGUGGUGCUGUGGUAGACUAUCCACCCGACCCGUCUUGAAACACGGACCAAGGAGAGUAACAUGUGCGCGAGUCAUUGGGUGAUACGAAACCCAAAGGCGCAGUGAAAGUGAAGGUCUGGCUUGUCCAGUCUGAGGUGAGAUCUUGUCGUUUCUCAUGCGCGGUACCACCAAGCUUGGAGCGACAGGCGCAUCACCGGCCCGUCCCAUGACGUAGACAUGGUCAAUGUACUCGUGCAUCGUCGGGGCGGAGCAUGAGCGCACAUGUUGAGACCCGAAAGAUGGUGAACUAUGCUUGCGCAGGUUGAAGCCAGAGGAAACUCUGGUGGAGGACCGCAGCGAUUCUGACGUGCAAAUCGAUCGUCAAACGUGAGUAUAGGGGCGAA
Molecule: ribosomal RNA, 2209 nt
Filed under: Phyllodistomum macrocotyle
Lineage: Eukaryota; Metazoa; Platyhelminthes; Trematoda; Plagiorchiida; Gorgoderidae
Description: eukaryotic LSU rRNA
Rfam family: Eukaryotic large subunit ribosomal RNA (bases 877-2209)
Source: RNAcentral